Molecule: long non-coding RNA, 355 nt
Organism: Suricata suricatta (meerkat)
Lineage: Eukaryota; Metazoa; Chordata; Mammalia; Carnivora; Herpestidae
Exons: 3
Source: RefSeq, a predicted model, not a curated record
ACACUACCCAGGCCCACUCCCAGCCAUGUCCUCAACACUUCAUACCUGGAUUUCUGCAGCUGCAUCUUCUCUGGGCACCCACAUGCCUGCAAGCUCUCUCCUGCCUGUGGUGGCCAUCUUGUUCAUCCUUCUCAAGCCCUGCUUACAUCAAGGCAGGACUGCAGAUGCAUUCAAAUCUUGGGCUAACAGAAUGGAGGGGCAGACAACCUCAAACUGGCCUCUAAUGGAGCCAGCCAGCACUCAUGAAGGCAUCUGUUCACUGCCCUUGCUAGGGGACCCAGGCAGCAAGGGGCUGGAAGAGCUGCCAAGAUAGCAAAUCAGGUCCUGAUAAGUCAUAAGUCAUGGGGAGCAGGAU